Camarhynchus parvulus is the source of this 2741-nucleotide long non-coding RNA. NCBI's taxonomy places the organism in Eukaryota, Metazoa, Chordata, Aves, Passeriformes, Thraupidae. The record is from Ensembl.
AUGAUGGAGAAGUUUGGUCGGCUGGUUGAUUUUGAAGCAGUUCAAGUACACUCUGUUAAUAUACCUAUGGAGCAGAUGAAAGUGAGAAUAAUGGAGAAAGAGUAUGAGCAUUUCGUGGAGCUCAAAGAAUGGGAGGAAAGAAUUGUAGCCCUGCAGCAUCAGCUAACGAAGCUGACAAGGGAAAACACCAGCAAGCUGCACCAGCUGAACAGGUUUUGCCAUGAAAAGCAUCAGCUUGAAACUGAACUGGAAUUACUGACAACUGGUCAGGUGAGCCUUGUAGCCACUGCAGUGCUUGCAGGUUUGGGACUGUUCAGAAAUAGGUAAGUGAUCAUCUGGCCCUCCCCAGCUCCCUGGUCUCACAUCCUGCUCUGCAGUCAGCAGUUUGGGCUAGGAGUGGGACAGGCGGAAUGGCUGCUCCAUACCUUACCAUCUCUGCAAUUUCUUACUUUGCUACUUUCUAAGACUGAAAUGAACUAAUUUCUAAUUAAAAUAUGCCUUGAAGGAAUUAAAAGAAUAUUCCUUUGUUUACAUGGAAACAGUCAUAUUACAGUCAUGUAACAGCAUUACAAUGAGAAGUGGAUUUAUUGCUCUGUACCAGGGAGUUAGUCUAAGUUAGUGAACCUUCAGUCUUUCACAUAGUUCUGACUAAGGUGGGGAAAAGUCAUGGGUAUGUCCUGGUUCUUGGCAAGCUUCACUUUCCCUGUUUGAAAUAAAUUUCCACUGUUCAUUCUCCAUGUUUUCUAGGAGCCAAUUUUUUCCUCUCCAUUUUCUUUUAUCUACAGGGUGGAGAAUUUGAGGGCACCCGAAGUGCUGACAUCAAAGAGACAGCCCGGCUGGAGUCACGGCUCAUGCACAUGACUUGUGAGGUGGCCCUUCUGAGAGAGGAAAUCAGCCAGGGCAGAGUAGAUGAGAUGUAAAAGAACUUGCUUUCCUUAGCAGAAAAGGUGGGUGCCUCUUUCUACAAGCUUUAGCACAAGACUCUGAGAUUCAAACUCCCUGCUCAGAAAUAGUAACUAGUCACCCUUAGAAUUAACUGUGGCAGCAGUCAUGCCCGGAAGUGCACAGUUAAUUGUUUUGGCUAUCCGGGGGUUUAGUUGUAAAGAGAUGUAUGGUUUUUUUCCAUCAAAAUAUGACUGUAGCAACAUAUUUGGAAUAAAAAAUAGCAAAUAAAACUACUAAAUACUGUUAUCAGUUCAUUGCAGAGGGUUGCACUGGACAAGGUGCGCUGUGUGCGUCCAUGUGUGUGUAUUAUGUCUGUGUCUAUCUUCAAACAAGUGGCUGUGGGAAGCUGGUUUGAAGUUUCCUUGGGGCAAAUAUUUAUUCUCAAAAAUGGUAAAAGAAGUCUGCCUCGAGCAAGCAUUUGUUACUGUUGAGCAGCAGUGGCCCUGCUCUGCUAACUGAAGAAUCCAGAGACACGCUGCUGGCCAGGAGAAAGCAAAGGGGUCUUUCUCCUCAGGGAAGGACAUGGCAUUUGCUGGCAGGAGGAGGGUGUAACAAUGGAAAGUCAGGCCGUAAUUCCACUGGCUUGCAGCUGCCUGAUCCGUCAGAGGGCCAAGCUGUGUAUGUUUCCAGGUAUUGCUCUUUUUUGCCUCUCUCAUUUGGUGUGGUGGCAGGAUGUGAUCAUUUACAGCAUUUACCCUGCCUGAUUGUGAAACCUUCCUUCAUCCCCAGGGUGGAGGGGUUGUGUUCUUCCCAUGCAAGGCUCCUGAGAUGGUAAUUUUUAAUUGAAUAAAUUAAAAAACCUCCAGCUGCUCUUGCUGUUCCUCUCCAUUUCCCACCUCUUGCCACAGUUCUUUGUGUCUCUGUCUGGUGUACACUCAGCAGGCCUCCAGCCAUAUCCCAGCCAGGCACAAGAACUUCCUGCUAGUCCCAGCACAAGUGUGUGAAUGGUGCUCGUGCAGCCUACCCUUACAGGGGGUCCCUGCUGAGGAAUACACCUGGUGCUGGGAGCUCUUGUGCAGCUGCAGGUUGUGCCCUGGGAGGUAGGAAAUGGCUGGAGCCCCAGGCGAGGGGCUGUCUGGCACCAAUCCCUUGCCUAACAAAGGACAAGGACAUACAGUGCCAGCUGGGUGGCCACAUACCCAGAGACUCAGCUGGAGACAGGGAACAAGACCCCAGACUCAGCAUCACCAGUGUCUAUUUGGAAAACUAACUGCAGGAAAAGGUCACCUUUCCCCAGAUGUCCUGCUUGCUGUAUGUCUGCAAGUAAAAAAGAAAAGGCUCGUUCUGUGUGAGGAAUCAGCUUAGAGCCAGGCACAGCAAAGACUAAAGCCUUUAUUUUAGAUGUUAAAGCGUGGAUUUGUCUUUACAGAUAGGCAGCUGCAGAUGGCGUGUAUGUGAAAGGUUGUUUAAGUUGAUUAGGCAGAGUGCGUAACUCCAGUUCAUUCACAGGAGCGUGUUCCUGGAACAAACUUUUCCUGUGGGUGAAAGGAAAAGACCUUUUAGGCAGCAUUAUUUAUUGUGAAACCCUCGCUGCAAGAGGGUGCUGGCAGCUCUGUUUGGACCCAUGUCCUGCAGUGUCCCUUGUCCAGCUGUUUCCAUUGUGUGCUGUGAUGGUGCCACUGAGAGCUGCUGCCUUGUUUCCUGGGUCCUCCCUUUGACCUUGCUGAGGAUGCCUUUUGUCUCCAUAGCAUUAUAAAAGGCACAUAUACAUCUAUAUACAAGUGCAUAAAUAUAUAAAUAGGGGUGUUAUACAAAAAUAAAUACCCUUUCUCUUUUUCUCUUUAGAAUAAGUCUUU